UUGCAAUUGCAAGUAAAUAAAUGCUUGGAGAAUUGGAAUUGGAGCUCAAAAGUAUUCCAACUGACAAUCAAAGGAUGAGAAAUAUCAUUGCCAAGUUCUCAAGGAUUUCUUGAAGACGCUUGAUGAUCAGGUAAUUCUAAAAAACAAAUAUGUAUACAAACUCAUCACUUCAUCCUACCCGAUCUGCUUUAACUUGCAGGCUUUAGCUUCUAUGUGAAUAUUUAACUUGCAGAUUGCAGCAUCAACAUGGUGAGCAUGCAUUAUCUAUAUUUGACCUCUGUAUGGACUUGCAUGUUCAACAAUACCAUGCUGUUUAUGUAAAUGACUAGGUCAGAAAUACAAUGAUGUAGUCGAUGGUUUGUUCAGAAAACAUAUGGUUAUGUUGCAGCUUUCGGUAUAUAAUUCAUGUACUUCCAUGUCGACCCCUGUGUAUUUCAGCUAGCAUCUUUCUUGGUUUGGUAUUGAUCUGUGUAGCUCUUGGAAAACAAUCCAGCGUUUCUUCACUCCAAAUGAUUGAGCCACGUCAUAAGUCUCACUCACCUGCUCAAAAGAAUCGUCAGCUGCUUAUUACAAUCAACUCUAAAGAACUACUGAAAGAGGAUACAGACUCUAGCUUACCUCAGGAUGAAACAGCAAUUGAUCCAAUGGACACCGAGGAAUCUGACGAAGACAAGAAGGCCAAAAGAUCUUAUUUAGCAACAACGGGGAGUUCAGCUAAUGAAAGUAUGAAUAAAUGGUAGAAGCAGUGAGGUACAUUGAGGUAUAUUUCCUCAUAUCACAAAUUCAGAUGAUUCUAUUUCUCCUCAAAUCAUCAACAGACAUCAUUUAUAGCGACUUCUAAGUCCGGUCUCCUGACUUACUCCAUAACUCAGUACUAGCUCAAACAUCCGACAAAGUCCGCUAUUUCGUGAUAAGUCUUCAGUUUGCUCUUUAUAUUGACCUUGUUUUCUGAAUCUGCAUCAGGAUAAGUCAAUUCUAUUUAAUAUUUCUGCUAUACCCAGUGAUGAAUUAUUUGUUUACACUACUAAUGCAAUCUAUGGUGAUUUUCUCUACUUUCAUGAUAUGGUCAGGUAGCAGGGUCCCUUUGAACUACAGAAAUUUUCAGGUCAAAUUAGGGUCUCUUGGGUGCUGCUGAAUAGCCCUUUGUAUUUUCCAUUUGCUGAUACUGCAGAAUUUGUAACACUCAAAAGUAAAGAAGCUUCUGUGUGUAUUUUGCAUGUACCAUGCGAGACCUCCUGCCAAUCAAAAGAAACAAGAAAAGAUAUAAGAUUUGUAGGCACACUUACUGCUCACAGUUAACUGAAAUGAAACAGCAUUUAGCUACCUGUAGUUCGUAUGGAAACUUUUUUUAUUUCACAUACAAGACUAUGAUAAUUGAAAUAUUGCCAAUUAAUUCAAUAUUACAUAUUACAUUUUCCCCCCCAAGUUUGUACACUUUGCUUCAUGCUGUUAUUCAAAAGUAAUCAUUUAACUCAUGCAUAAUUUUACUUUUC
Molecule: long non-coding RNA, 1493 nt
Organism: Phragmites australis (common reed)
Lineage: Eukaryota; Viridiplantae; Streptophyta; Magnoliopsida; Poales; Poaceae
Exons: 4
Source: RefSeq, a predicted model, not a curated record